Molecule: non-coding RNA, 957 nt
Filed under: Achirus lineatus (lined sole)
Lineage: Eukaryota; Metazoa; Chordata; Actinopteri; Pleuronectiformes; Achiridae
Description: 12S ribosomal RNA
Rfam family: Bacterial small subunit ribosomal RNA
Source: RNAcentral
CAAAGAUUUGGUCCUGGUCUUUUUUUCAGCUCUAGCCGAACUUACACAUGCAAGUAUCCGCACUCCCGUGAGAAUGCCCAUAGUCCUCCAACAGAGAACAAGGAGCCGGUAUCAGGCACAAACUAACCUAUGCCCAUGACACCUUGCUCAGCCACACCCCCAAGGGAACCCAGCAGUGAUAAAUAUUAAGCCAUAAGUGAAAACUUGACUUAGUUACGGCUAACAGGACCGGCAAAACUCGUGCCAGCCGCCGCGGUUACACGAGAGGUCCAAGUUGACAAACAACGGCGUAAAGAGUGGUUAAGAACAAACAUAAACUAAAGCCGAACAGUUCACAAAGUCAUCUUCAAGCUAACGAGAACAUGAAGCCCCACUACGAAAGUAGCUUUACAUUACCCUGAACCCACGAAAGCUAAGGAACAAACUGGGAUUAGAUACCCCACUAUGCUUAGCCGUAAACAUUGAUCACAAAAGUACACACGCACUCCGCCCGGGAAUUACGAACAAAAGUUUAAAACCCAAAGGACUUGGCGGUGCUUAACAUCCACCUAGAGGAGCCUGUUCUAUAACCGAUAAUCCCCGUUCAACCUCACCCUUCCUUGUUAUAAUCCGCCUAUAUACCGCCAUCGUCAGUCCACCCUGUGAAGGCCCCACAGUCGACAAAACCGCAACAACCCCAAACGUUAGGUCGAGGUGUAGCGUAUGGAAGGGGAAGAAAUGGGCUACAUUUGCUACAACAGCAUAGCACGAAUUUUGUUUUGAAACAUACAACUGAAGGAGGAUUUAGCAGUAAGCAGGAAAUAGAGCGUUCUGCUGAAAUCGGCACUUAAGCGCGCACACACCGCCCGUCACCCUCCCCAAACCACGAACAUCAAACCUAAUUAAAUCAAACUCGUACAUCAUAGGGGAGGAAAGUCGUAACAUGGUAAGCGUACCGGAAGGUGCGCUUGGUAAAAC